Molecule: ribosomal RNA, 751 nt
Filed under: uncultured bacterium
Lineage: Bacteria
Description: bacterial SSU rRNA
Rfam family: Bacterial small subunit ribosomal RNA
Source: RNAcentral
CUUGCUUCUCUUGAGAGCGGCGGACGGGUGAGUAAUGCCUAGGAAUCUGCCUGGUAGUGGGGGAUAACGUUCGGAAACGGACGCUAAUACCGCAUACGUCCUACGGGAGAAAGCAGGGGACCUUCGGGCCUUGCGCUAUCAGAUGAGCCUAGGUCGGAUUAGCUAGUUGGUGGGGUAAUGGCUCACCAAGGCUACGAUCCGUAACUGGUCUGAGAGGAUGAUCAGUCACACUGGAACUGAGACACGGUCCAGACUCCUACGGGAGGCAGCAGUGGGGAAUAUUGGACAAUGGGCGAAAGCCUGAUCCAGCCAUGCCGCGUGUGUGAAGAAGGUCUUCGGAUUGUAAAGCACUUUAAGUUGGGAGGAAGGGUUGUAGAUUAAUACUCUGCAAUUUUGACGUUACCGACAGAAUAAGCACCGGCUAACUCUGUGCCAGCAGCCGCGGUAAUACAGAGGGUGCAAGCGUUAAUCGGAAUUACUGGGCGUAAAGCGCGCGUAGGUGGUUUGUUAAGUUGGAUGUGAAAUCCCCGGGCUCAACCUGGGAACUGCAUUCAAAACUGACUGACUAGAGUAUGGUAGAGGGUGGUGGAAUUUCCUGUGUAGCGGUGAAAUGCGUAGAUAUAGGAAGGAACACCAGUGGCGAAGGCGACCACCUGGACUAAUACUGACACUGAGUGCGAAAGCGUGGGGAGCAAACAGGAUUAGAUACCCUGGUAUCCACGCCCGUAGACGAUGUCACUAGCCGUUGGAA